GCCUGGUGUGGUGGCACAUACCUCUAGUCUUACUACCAGGGAGGCUGCUGCUGGUGAAUCACUUGAGUUUGGGAGUUCUGCACUAUAGUAGGGAUAAAGUCAAUCAGGUGUCCAUACUAAGUCCAGCAUUAAUAUUAUGAGCUUGGGGACCAGAGGGACACCGGUCUGCCUAAAAAGAGGUAAACUAGUGCAAGUCAGAAAUGGAGCACAUAAAAUCUCCCGUGCCAAUUAGCAUCGGAAUUAGGCCCAUGAACGGUCACUGCACUUCCAGCUCAGUCAAAAUAAGGAGACCCAGUCCCA
Molecule: non-coding RNA, 300 nt
Filed under: Phascolarctos cinereus (koala)
Lineage: Eukaryota; Metazoa; Chordata; Mammalia; Diprotodontia; Phascolarctidae
Source: RNAcentral